RNAcentral lists this ribosomal RNA (402 nucleotides) under uncultured bacterium. RNAcentral describes it as "bacterial SSU rRNA". It matches the Rfam family "Bacterial small subunit ribosomal RNA", at positions 356 to 773 of the family's 1533-position model. The record is from RNAcentral.
AGGGAAUAUUGCGCAAUGGGGGAAACCCUGACGCAGCGACGCCGCGUGAGCGAUGAAGGCCUUCGGGUCGUAAAGCUCUGUCCUCAGGGAAGAAACAAUGACGGUACCUGAGGAGGAAGCCCCGGCUAACUACGUGCCAGCAGCCGCGGUAAUACGUAGGGGGCGAGCGUUGUCCGGAAUUAUUGGGCGUAAAGGGUGCGUAGGCGGCCAUUUAAGUCAGAUGUGAAAGACCAGGGCUUAACCUUGGGGUUGCAUUUGAAACUGGAUGGCUUGAGUAUCGGAGAGGGCAGUGGAAUUCCCGGUGUAGCGGUGAAAUGCGUAGAGAUCGGGAGGAACACCAGUGGCGAAGGCGACUGCCUGGACGAAAACUGACGCUGAGGCACGAAAGCUAGGGGAGCGAAC